CCCUACGGGGCGCAGCAGUAGGGAAUCUUCCCCAAUGGACGAAAGUCUGAUGGAGCAACGCCGCGUGAGUGAAGAAGGGUUUCGGCUCGUAAAGCUCUGUUGGUAGUGAAGAAAGAUAGAGGUAGUAACUGGCCUUUACUUGACGGUAAUUACUUAGAAAGUCACGGCUAACUACGUGCCAGCAGCCGCGGUAAUACGUAGAUGGCAAGCGUUUCCCGGAUUUAUUGGGCGUAAAGCGAGUGCAGGCGGGUUCAUAAGU
This 259-nucleotide ribosomal RNA is filed under the name uncultured bacterium. RNAcentral describes it as "partial 16S ribosomal RNA". It matches the Rfam family "Bacterial small subunit ribosomal RNA", at positions 337 to 588 of the family's 1533-position model. The record is from RNAcentral.